Long non-coding RNA from Hyaena hyaena (striped hyena), 382 nucleotides. RefSeq lists it as uncharacterized. The transcript is spliced from 2 exons. NCBI's taxonomy places the organism in Eukaryota, Metazoa, Chordata, Mammalia, Carnivora, Hyaenidae. The record is from RefSeq and is a predicted model, not a curated record.
AGUCUUCCCGCAUGAAAGAUGGCGGAUUCCUCAGAACAGCAGGUAGAGUGAGAGAAAGAAGAAUGUGGACCUGAAGCUGCCACCUAGGAACAGGUCUCAUCCAUCCAGUCUUUCCUGUCUCGUCAUAUCCCACGUUACCUCUUUGUCAUGCUUCCAUCGUGCUGGCCUUCCUACCAUCCUCAAACACAAACAUACUAGCUCACUCCGGCCUACAGCUUUCUCCUGACACAGUCUUUCCCUGCCUUGGGGUAAAGCUACUCCCUUGUGUCACCUAGGCCUCUGCUGCAUGUCAUCUCCCCAGAUAAUCUUUUCUACCACCCCUUUCCUUACUAUGUUACGUCAUCCUAUUGUAUUUCUUUCAUUGUACUUACCACUGUCUGAA